RNAcentral lists this ribosomal RNA (156 nucleotides) under Aspergillus fumigatus. Its description in RNAcentral is "partial 5.8S ribosomal RNA". The stretch from base 1 to 74 matches the Rfam family "5.8S ribosomal RNA", at positions 81 to 154 of the family's 154-position model. The record is from RNAcentral. Lineage: Eukaryota; Fungi; Ascomycota; Eurotiomycetes; Eurotiales; Aspergillaceae.
UCAGUGAAUCAUCGAGUCUUUGAACGCACAUUGCGCCCCCUGGUAUUCCGGGGGGCAUGCCUGUCCGAGCGUCAUUGCUGCCCUCAAGCACGGCUUGUGUGUUGGGCCCCCGUCCCCCUCUCCCGGGGGACGGGCCCGAAAGGCAGCGGCGGCACC